Molecule: non-coding RNA, 31 nt
Filed under: Mus musculus (house mouse)
Lineage: Eukaryota; Metazoa; Chordata; Mammalia; Rodentia; Muridae
Source: RNAcentral
UGGCAAUGUUGUGUAACACUUUGUUACUGGU